This 21-nucleotide unclassified non-coding RNA is filed under the name Dictyostelium discoideum. Lineage: Eukaryota; Evosea; Eumycetozoa; Dictyosteliales; Dictyosteliaceae. The record is from RNAcentral.
UGCUCGUUUUGUUGGCAUUGU